UCAAAGCGAAUAGUCUUCUUAUAAGCUUUUAAUCAUAGUUAAAAUAAUUAGUUACAAUAAACAAUAAAUUAAAAUACAAUUUCUUCCUUCAUGACAUUUUUCUAGUGACAGCUUUAAAACAAAAGUGCAGAACAAAAGAACAAAGAAGAAAAAAGUAAAAAAAGGUUUCAUUUUCUGUCCAUGAAGUUUUGACGUUUAACAUCCUCCCCCCCCUUGGGGACAUGUUCCCCAAAGAGCUCAUGGGAAUCUAGUAGGGCUAGUCGAGAGACGGGCCUAUGAAUGACGCCGUUCUCUGUCUUGACGUCGACUACCCUGCAAACACCGUCAGUUCCUGGAUAGAGCUUCUGAAUGCGGCCCAUAAGCCAUUUCAAGGGUGGUAGCUGGUCGUCCAACACGAAGACUAAGUCGCCGACACGAACUGGCUGCUGUUCUCGCUGCCAUUUUACACGCUGCUGUAGAGUGGCUAGAUAGUCCUUUGCCCAACGAGACCAGAAGUGUUGCUGUAGGCGCUCAAUAAGUUGGUACCGGUUGAUACCAAUCUUCUCAGUCACGGGUGAUGGCUGCGAGGUUAACGGUCUACCCACAAGAAAGUGCCCAGGAGUAAGUGCGGAAAGAUCGGAUGGAUCAGCUGACAUUGCAGUAAUGGGACGCGAAUUCAUAAGAGCCUCAAUUGGUGCAAAGAGUGUAGAUAACUCGAAGGUUAAACUAGAAUUACCCGCUAUUCGUUUUAAAUGGAAUUUGGCCGUUUUGACUCCGGCCUCCUAGAUUCCCCCGAAAUGCGGUGCAUAUGCGGAUGAGAGUUUAAAUUGUAUGCCUGCUCCGCCCGCGUAGUCGCUAAUCAACCGCUCAUUUUCUCUGAACAGCCUUUUCAGUUCGUUAUUAGCACCUACAAAGUUUUUAAGUUUUCUCUCUGUGACACCUUAGCUAAUAGUUCCAGUGAAUUGUUCAACUCAGAACAAUAAUGAAUGAAGACUGACUUCCAUUGUCUAAGAGAGCUUUAACCGUAUAAUUCUCAGAAGAUCGACUGUCAAUUAUAUUGACUUGAGCAGUGCAUAGCAGGAUCUGCCCAGGUUUUGCCACAGAGUGUGACACAGGAUUAAACAAAGCAAUAGUAGAAGUUACCUGGGAAGAACUAGCUUCUUGAGGAGGUGACAUUGCAGAAGUCUUGUCAACAGAUGAGUUUGCCUUGUCAGUGUUAGACCGUGAUCUAUGUAGCAAUAAAUUGUGCUUUUUAUUGCAGAAUUUGCAAAAGUGAUGAUUACAGUGAGUGGAGAAAUGACCAGGACGCAGACAAUUAUGACAAAGCUUAUGCUUGGAAAUUUCAUUAAAUCUAGCAUCUACAGACAUAUUCUUAAACUUUUCACAUUUAUAUAGUAAAUGAUCUUGUGAACAUA
Helicoverpa zea (corn earworm) is the source of this 1394-nucleotide long non-coding RNA. RefSeq lists it as uncharacterized. The transcript has 2 exons. The record is from RefSeq and is a predicted model, not a curated record. NCBI's taxonomy places the organism in Eukaryota, Metazoa, Arthropoda, Insecta, Lepidoptera, Noctuidae.